Molecule: small nuclear RNA, 107 nt
Filed under: Castor canadensis (American beaver)
Lineage: Eukaryota; Metazoa; Chordata; Mammalia; Rodentia; Castoridae
Source: RNAcentral
AUGCUCAUUUGGACAUCACUUGUAUUAAAAUUGGAACAAUAUGGAGAAGAUUAGUGUGGCCCCUGUGCAAGGAUGACACGCACAUUCAUGAAGUGUUCCAUAUUAAA